This 468-nucleotide ribosomal RNA is filed under the name uncultured bacterium. Its description in RNAcentral is "partial 16S ribosomal RNA". It matches the Rfam family "Bacterial small subunit ribosomal RNA", at positions 28 to 507 of the family's 1533-position model. The record is from RNAcentral.
GACGAACGCUGGCGGCGUGCUUAACACAUGCAAGUCGAACGGAAAGGCCAGGCUUUUGUGGGGUGCUCGAGUGGCGAACGGGGGAGUAACACGUGAGUAACAUGCCCUUGACUUUGGGAUAACUUCAGGAAACUGGGGCUAAUACAGGAUAGGAGCUCCUGCUGCAUGGGGGGGGUUGGAAAGUUUCGGCGGUUGGGGCUGGACUCGCGGGUUAUCAGCUUGCUGGUGGGGUAGGGGCUUACAAAGGCUUUGACGGGUAGCCCGCCUGGGAGGGUGACCGGCCACAUUGGGACUGAGAUACGGCCCAGACUCCUACGGGAGGCAGCAGGGGGGAAUAUUGCACAAUGGGCGGAAGCCUGAUGCAGCAACGCCGCGUGCGGGAUGACGGCCUUCGGGUUGUAAACCGCUUUCGCCUGUGACGAAGCGUGAGUGACGGUAAUGGGUAAAAAAGCACCGGCUAACUACGUG